GUGAAAUGGAGCAGUGGUUAGCACGUAGGCCUGCAGUGCCAAAAGAUGAAGGAUCAAAUUC
This 61-nucleotide transfer RNA is filed under the name Chattonella subsalsa. RNAcentral's name for it is "partial tRNA". The record is from RNAcentral. Lineage: Eukaryota; Raphidophyceae; Chattonellales; Chattonellaceae.